AAAAGGAAUUAAUGGAAGCAAGAGCAAAGUUAGAUGCCAGUUGUUUUAGUGCAUCACCUAUUCUAUUUUUGAUUAUUUCUAAUAUGGUUAGUUUUGUUAUAUUAUAAUUAGAAAGAAAGAGCAAGAUCUUAUGGUAGUGCCAAGUCACCUGUUACUUGGAUCUAUAGUCGCUUUUGGAGAAUGGUUUAGCCAAUUUAAUUUUAUUUUGGAGUAAUUUUAUAUUAUUUUAUUUUAUUUUAUGUUGAUUGGAUUUGUUUAUUUAUUGUCAUUUUAGAAUUUUUAUUGGAUUGUUUUUUUUAGAAAUUUUUUUGUUAUUUUUUGAUUUUAUAUAUAUAGAUUCAUGUAUUUGUUUAGAAUUAUUAAAUGAUUGAAUGAAAAUAGCUUUUUUUUUUUUCUUGAAAUUCUGAUACGUGAGAGUUAGGUAUUCUCUUUCUCCUUCCCUCUCUUUCUUAUAAUGGUCCUGCAUCAACUUUGGUAGGUAGGGAAGAAAUUUUUUGGUUUGCUGUGACAUUGUCUUCCCCUGAGGGGUCAGACUUCAUACGUUUGGGCAACUCCUUUCUCAGUCGAGAAGGGGUGCCGAUUCCUCUUUCAUUUGAAGCAUACUGCCACGCCACCUUAGUAACCGUCCCGUGGGAUUCAAGCCUCACAAGGAAGCAACAGAAAAAAAAAAAACUAUGCUUGCUGUGGGCUGCGGCCACCCCAUGGCCCUUAGGCUUCACAGAGAAAACAAAAGGAAAAUCUCUUCUUCCAGUUCCCAUGGACAACCGCUAAUCCUUGUUCCCUCCCUGCGACCCAACGAAGAAGACUGUCAUCGCAGCCUGAUCCCUAGCCACAACCACCACUCGAGGCCGGGUCUGGGAAGAGGAUUGUUCCACAUCCGAGGCCGCCACGUGCCACGUGCCGCCUGCGGCGUCGCACUCGG
RNAcentral lists this long non-coding RNA (922 nucleotides) under Phoenix dactylifera (date palm). Its description in RNAcentral is "long non-coding RNA (PDAC_LNC017036)". Lineage: Eukaryota; Viridiplantae; Streptophyta; Magnoliopsida; Arecales; Arecaceae. The record is from RNAcentral.